CAACGCGACCCCAGGUCAGGCGGGGCUACCCGCUGAGUUUAAGCAUAUCAAUAAGCGGA
Molecule: ribosomal RNA, 59 nt
Filed under: Ficus cordata subsp. salicifolia
Lineage: Eukaryota; Viridiplantae; Streptophyta; Magnoliopsida; Rosales; Moraceae
Also listed under: 18 other names
Description: partial 28S ribosomal RNA
Source: RNAcentral